GGUGCAUUUUAGAAGGGAAAGGUGAUCGCGUCUAAUAUUUGUAUGGCGUUGGAGUUGCAAAUAUGAUGUCAAGAAUUUGAAGUUAGAUAUCUAAAAAGCCUAUGAUAUGCUGGAUAGGAGAUUUUUAUUUGACAUCUUGUUUAGGCACUUAUGGAUGUUCAAUCUUCGGAGCUGAUGCAGAUCUAUGAUCAAGUAAGGUCUUUCCCUAUUCCUUCAGUGGUGCAGGCAGACAGAAAGGUUUGGUCGUUAGCUUAAUUUAGUAUUUAUUUGUCUUUGUCAGCUUGGGAGGGGAUUCACAAUAUAUAUUCUCUGUGUACUGCGGACUCACAUUAUUUGGCUCAUGGGUUUAUUUCCUCGUGUUUCAACUUGGUUGGUCCAUGGUUGUCUCCCUACGGAUGAGAAGGUAAUAAAAGGCUCUAUCUAUAUGGCAUCUCACUGUAAUUUGUAGUAACAGUCAAUUGCUUAUAUUUUUUUAGAUUGGCGA
Long non-coding RNA from Macadamia integrifolia, 484 nucleotides. RefSeq lists it as uncharacterized. The transcript has 2 exons. Lineage: Eukaryota; Viridiplantae; Streptophyta; Magnoliopsida; Proteales; Proteaceae. The record is from RefSeq and is a predicted model, not a curated record.